This 438-nucleotide ribosomal RNA is filed under the name uncultured bacterium. RNAcentral describes it as "bacterial SSU rRNA". It matches the Rfam family "Bacterial small subunit ribosomal RNA", at positions 339 to 794 of the family's 1533-position model. The record is from RNAcentral.
GUACGGGAGGCAGCAGUCGGGAAUUUUGCGCAAUGGGCGAAAGCCUGACGCAGCAACGCCGCGUGAGGGAUGAAGGCCUUCGGGUUGUAAACCUCUUUUCUCAGGGACGAUGAUGACGGUACCUGAGGAAUAAGCCACGGCUAACUACGUGCCAGCAGCCGCGGUAAUACGUAGGUGGCAAGCGUUGUCCGGAUUUACUGGGCGUAAAGAGCGCGCAGGCGGUCGUUCAAGUCGCGUGUGAAAGCCCCCGGCUCAACUGGGGAGGGUCACGCGAUACUGAUCGACUAGAAGGCGGGAGAGGGAAGCGGAAUUCCCGGUGUAGUGGUGAAAUGCGUAGAUAUCGGGAGGAACACCAGUGGCGAAGGCGGCUUCCUGGCCCGUUCUUGACGCUGAGGCGCGAAAGCUAGGGGAGCAAACGGGAUUAGAUACCCCGGUAGC